This is a long non-coding RNA of Triticum aestivum (bread wheat), 695 nucleotides long. RefSeq lists it as uncharacterized. NCBI's taxonomy places the organism in Eukaryota, Viridiplantae, Streptophyta, Magnoliopsida, Poales, Poaceae. The transcript is spliced from 2 exons. The record is from RefSeq and is a predicted model, not a curated record.
CUCGAUCUGGUGCCUUGCCGGCCAUCCGGGCGCGGCGUCGAUGGAUCUGGCGGUGGGUGCGGCGUCUUGCUCCGGUGGCGACGAUGUCCUGCUGAUGCAAAGAGACCAGGGCGUGAGGGAGAGAGGAAGAAAGGAGGAGAAGGGGCACAAGGUGAGGGAGGCGGUCGCAGGCGGCGGCGCCUCCGGUGACCGGCUAGAGGGAAGGGAGAGGAACUCUUGUUGAGGCGGCGCGGCUUGGUGCAUGCUGGUUUCUCCGGAUCGACCCCCUACUCAGAUCUGCACGCCCCUGAUGAUUGGAGGUGUGCCUUUCACAUGUUCGUUGAGUUGCAGCAACAAGGACAGAUGGCCAUCUUCACAGGUUAUGCCCCUUACUGUAAUUUGCAUUUAGUUAUGUUCAGUAAUAAUGCCAUAUUUGUUAGCCUGCUAGCUGUUUCCAGAUUUUUUUAGACAUGAUUGACUGCUUCUACACAAAAGGAGUUUGUCGAAAAUAAGAGCAAUCCAAUUGUUGCUACAGAGCCUGAAGAUUCUUUGCCUUUCUUUGAACUGUUUCAGUUUUUUCUUUCAUAUGGCUACAAUUAUUUGAUUGGUCCAUGUAAAUUUAGGCAACAUGAGAUGAGCCGAUGAUAUAUAUUGUAAUAUACGAUGUCUAUUGCUACAAGUGUUGAUGUCUUGGUGAUGGAAGGUAUUGCAAGUAA